UACAGGUGCCUAAGACUUUUGCACAGUACUGUGUAUAUAUAUAUAUUUUUUGAGUAAAUAUGUUCCUGUUGCUCACAGGUGUAGUAAUGUGUUCCUUUUGCUCGCGGGUGUAGUAAUGUGUUCCUGUUGCUCGCGGGUGUAGUAAUGUGUUCCUGUAGCUCAUGGGUGUUGUAAUGUGUUCCUGUUGCUCCCGGGUGUAGUAAAUGUGUUCCUGUAGCUUGUGGGUGUAGUAAUGUGUUCCUGUAGUUAGCGGGUGUAGUAAUUUGUUCCUAUAGUUCACGCUGUAGUAUUGUGUGCCUGAAGCUUGUGGGUGUAGUAAUGUGUUCCUGUAGUUUGCGGAUGUAGUAAUUUGUUCCUGUAGUUUGCGGGUGUAGUAAUAUGUUCCUGUUGCUCGCAGGUGUAGUAAUGUGUUCCUGUUGCUCGCAGGUGUAGUACAUAUGUUCCUGUAGCUCAUGGGUGUAGUAAUGUGUUCUCGUGGUUGCUCUCAGGGUGUAGUAAUGUGUUCCUGUUGCUCGCGGGUGUAGUAAUGUGUUCUCGUGGUUGCUCUCAGGGUGUAGUAAUGUGUUCCUGUUGCUCGCAGGUGUAGUAAUGUGUUCCUGUUGCUCGCAGGUGUAGUAAUGUGUUCCUGUAGCUCGCGGGUGUAGUAAAUGUGUUCCUGUAGCUCGCGGGUGUAGUAAUGUGUUCUCGUGGUUGCUCUCAGGGUGUAGUAAUGUGUUCCUGUUGCUCGUGGGUGUAGUAAUGUAUUCCUGUUGCUCACGGGUGUAGUAGCUCAUGGGUGUAGUAAUGUGUUCCUGUUGCUCGCGGGUGUUGUAAUGUGUUCCUGCAGCUCGCAGGUGUAGUAAUGUGUUCCUGUAGCUCAUGGGUGUAGUAAUGUGUUCUCGUGGUUGCUCUCAGGGUGUAGUAAUGUGUUCCUGUUGCUCGCAGGUGUAGUAAUGUGUUCCUGUUGCUCUCAGGGUGUAGUAAUGUGUUCCUGUAGUUUGCGGGUGUAGUAAUGUGUUCCUGUAGCUCGCAGGUGUAGUAAUGUGUUCCUGUAGUUUGCGCGUGUAGUAAUGUGUUCCUGUAGCUCAUGGGUGUAGUAAUGUGUUCUCGUGGUUGCUCUCAGGGUGUAGUAAUGUGUUCCUGUUGCUCGUGGGUGUAGUAAUGUGUUCUCAUGGUUGCUCUCAGGGUGUAGUAAUGUGUUCCUGUAGCUCGUGGGUGUAGUAAUGUGUUCCUGUAGCUCAUGGGUGUAGUAAUGUGUUCUCGUGGUUGCUCUCAGGGUGUAGUAAUAUGUUCCUGUUGCUCGUGGGUGUAGUAAUGUGUUCCUGUAGCUCACGGGUGUAGUAAUGUGUUCCUGUUGCUCGUGGGUGUAGUAAUGUGUUCUCGUGGUUGCUCUCAGGGUGUAGUAAUGUGUUCCUGUAGCUCGUGGGUGUAGUAAUGUGUUCCUGUAGCUCAUGGGUGUAGUAAUGUGUUCUUGUGGUUGCUCUCAGGGUGUAGUAAUGUGUUCCUGUUGCUCGUGGGUGUAGUAAUGUGUUCUCGUGGUUGCUCUCAGGGUGUAGUAAUGUGUUCCUGUAGCUCGUGGGUGUAGUAAUGUGUUCCUGUAGCUCAUGGGUGUAGUAAUGUGUUCUCGUGGUUGCUCUCAGGGUGUAGUAAUAUGUUCCUGUUGCUCGUGGGUGUAGUAAUGUGUUCCUGUAGCUCACGGGUGUAGUAAUGUGUUCCUGUUGCUCGUGGGUGUAGUAAUGUGUUCUCGUGGUUGC
This is a long non-coding RNA of Anguilla anguilla (European eel), 1733 nucleotides long. RefSeq lists it as uncharacterized. The transcript has 3 exons. Lineage: Eukaryota; Metazoa; Chordata; Actinopteri; Anguilliformes; Anguillidae. The record is from RefSeq and is a predicted model, not a curated record.